AGAGUUUGAUCCUGGCUCAGGACGAACGCUGGCGGCGUGCCUAAUACAUGCAAGUAGAACGCUGAAGAGAGGAGCUUGCUCUUCUUGGAUGAGUUGCGAACGGGUGAGUAACGCGUAGGUAACCUGCCUUGUAGCGGGGGAUAACUAUUGGAAACGAUAGCUAAUACCGCAUAACAAUGGAUGACACAUGUCAUUUAUUUGAAAGGGGCAAUUGCUCCACUACAAGAUGGACCUGCGUUGUAUUAGCUAGUAGGUGAGGUAAUGGCUCACCUAGGCGACGAUACAUAGCCGACCUGAGAGGGUGAUCGGCCACACUGGGACUGAGACACGGCCCAGACUCCUACGGGAGGCAGCAGUAGGGAAUCUUCGGCAAUGGGGGCAACCCUGACCGAGCAACGCCGCGUGAGUGAAGAAGGUUUUCGGAUCGUAAAGCUCUGUUGUAAGUCAAGAACGGGUGUGAGAGUGGAAAGUUCACACUGUGACGGUAGCUUACCAGAAAGGGACGGCUAACUACGUGCCAGCAGCCGCGGUAAUACGUAGGUCCCGAGCGUUGUCCGGAUUUAUUGGGCGUAAAGCGAGCGCAGGCGGUUUGAUAAGUCUGAAGUUAAAGGCUGUGGCUCAACCAUAGUUCGCUUUGGAAACUGUCAAACUUGAGUGCAGAAGGGGAGAGUGGAAUUCCAUGUGUAGCGGUGAAAUGCGUAGAUAUAUGGAGGAACACCGGUGGCGAAAGCGGCUCUCUGGUCUGUAACUGACGCUGAGGCUCGAAAGCGUGGGGAGCGAACAGGAUUAGAUACCCUGGUAGUCCACGCCGUAAACGAUGAGUGCUAGGUGUUGGAUCCUUUCCGGGAUUCAGUGCCGCAGCUAACGCAUUAAGCACUCCGCCUGGGGAGUACGACCGCAAGGUUGAAACUCAAAGGAAUUGACGGGGGCCCGCACAAGCGGUGGAGCAUGUGGUUUAAUUCGAAGCAACGCGAAGAACCUUACCAGGUCUUGACAUCCCGAUGCUAUUUCUAGAGAUAGAAAGUUACUUCGGUACAUCGGUGACAGGUGGUGCAUGGUUGUCGUCAGCUCGUGUCGUGAGAUGUUGGGUUAAGUCCC
This 1098-nucleotide ribosomal RNA is filed under the name gut metagenome. RNAcentral's name for it is "bacterial SSU rRNA". It matches the Rfam family "Bacterial small subunit ribosomal RNA", at positions 8 to 1088 of the family's 1533-position model. The record is from RNAcentral.